GGCUGGUUAUUGACACAUAUUUGUCUUCAUAACAAAGUAUGUACAUACAACCUCAUAUAAUUGCAGUGGAAUGACGAUGUGACGGGAUAGUUUCAAUUAUUUAAAGUUCUAAAAACAAAAUUAGUAUAACGUCAAAAAUAGCAACAUCGUAAAUAACAUCACAACAAUCUCAUCUGUAUAAGUUCGUAUAUAGAAUGUUUG
Molecule: long non-coding RNA, 201 nt
Filed under: Mytilus galloprovincialis (Mediterranean mussel)
Lineage: Eukaryota; Metazoa; Mollusca; Bivalvia; Mytilida; Mytilidae
Source: RNAcentral